GCUGGGCAUGGUGGCGUGUGCCUGUAAUCCUAGCUACUCAGGAGGCUGAGGCAGGAUAAUUGCCUGAAUCCAGGAAGCAGAGGUUGUAGUGAGCUGAGAUCACGCCAUUGCACUCCAGCCUGGGUAACGAGCAAAACUCUGUCUCAAAAAAAAAAAAUUUUUUUUUUGCCCAGGCAGGAGUGCAGUGCUGCAGUCUCGGCUCACUGCGACCUCUGCCUCCCGGGUUCAAGUGAUUCUCCUGCCUCAG
RNAcentral lists this small RNA (247 nucleotides) under Callithrix jacchus (white-tufted-ear marmoset). RNAcentral describes it as "Metazoan signal recognition particle RNA (ENSCJAG00000071317.1)". The record is from RNAcentral. Lineage: Eukaryota; Metazoa; Chordata; Mammalia; Primates; Cebidae.